This 83-nucleotide transfer RNA is filed under the name Lachnospira pectinoschiza. RNAcentral's name for it is "tRNA-Leu". It matches the Rfam family "tRNA". From Rfam's summary of the family: Transfer RNA (tRNA) molecules are approximately 80 nucleotides in length. The record is from RNAcentral. Lineage: Bacteria; Bacillati; Bacillota; Clostridia; Lachnospirales; Lachnospiraceae. RNAcentral also lists the same sequence under 4 other names.
GCGGAAGUGGCGGAAUGGCAGACGCAGCAGACUCAAAAUCUGCCGGUGGUAACAUCGUGUGGGUUCAAGUCCCAUCUUCCGCA